GCGCAAGUGGUGGAAUUGGUAUACACGUACGUUUGAGGGGCGUAUGCCUUACGGCUUGAGGGUUCGAGUCCCUCCUUGCGCACCA
This 85-nucleotide transfer RNA is filed under the name Bdellovibrio sp. RNAcentral describes it as "tRNA-Leu". It matches the Rfam family "tRNA". From Rfam's summary of the family: Transfer RNA (tRNA) molecules are approximately 80 nucleotides in length. Their secondary structure includes four short double-helical elements and three loops (D, anti-codon, and T loops). Further hydrogen bonds mediate the characteristic L-shaped molecular structure. tRNAs have two regions of fundamental functional importance: the anti-codon, which is responsible for specific mRNA codon recognition, and the 3' end, to which the tRNAs corresponding amino acid is attached (by aminoacyl-tRNA synthetases). tRNAs cope with the degeneracy of the genetic code in two manners: having more than one tRNA (with a specific anti-codon) for a particular amino acid; and 'wobble' base-pairing, i.e. permitting non-standard base-pairing at the 3rd anti-codon position. RNAcentral also lists the same sequence under 1 other name. Lineage: Bacteria; Pseudomonadati; Bdellovibrionota; Bdellovibrionia; Bdellovibrionales; Pseudobdellovibrionaceae. The record is from RNAcentral.